Long non-coding RNA from Cygnus olor (mute swan), 2076 nucleotides. RefSeq lists it as uncharacterized. NCBI's taxonomy places the organism in Eukaryota, Metazoa, Chordata, Aves, Anseriformes, Anatidae. The transcript is spliced from 3 exons. The record is from RefSeq and is a predicted model, not a curated record.
AAGUGAGGCCGAUGAGUAUAAGCUGAAGUAUAGGUUUCUUAUGCCUAUGGAUGUAUGAAUUAUUAAUAGUACUACCACUAUAAAAUUACCCUUGCAAAAGAUUAAAAAAAGAGAAAGUAAUGACUGAAAAGACUGUUAGUAAGUAUUUACAAAUUGAUUUUCAGGUCAAGCUCUGAAAUUAAAGAAGUAAUACUGUCUUCUCAAAACAUUUCCAAGUCGUAUCGUAAAUUAUGUGAUAUAAAUUGUCGAAUCACUUUGCUAAGAAUACUGCAACACGUAACUACCUCCUCAGAAAUAACUGCCAGAUUAAGCAACCAGAGUAUAAAUUAUAGUUCUGCUCAAACAUUAUACAGCUUAGUGAAGCUAAAGAGUAAUUAAUUAUCCCAUUAAUUUUUGAAUGUGGGCACACUGAAUCACCUGUGCUUUACUGAUAAUUAAUCCUACCUGUAGUGAUUACCUUCUCAAAAGUUGUCUUUUUUUUUUUUUUUUUUUGAUAGGCUGCAGGUGUACCUGAAUACAAGUCAAAAGUGCAUUGCUAAAAGUAUUUCAGAAGUUAAUAGUUCUAAUGGCAAAAAUAAACCUACUGCACUAUUAGUUCUAAAUAGCUCCAGAGAAAAUGCUCACAGUUCAUGCUGUAUGCAGGCAGUUCGCAUUGCACAGGUAGGCUACGGAACUGCCUGCACUACAAGGCAGCUACAAAGUGCUGCAGGACGAGAGCAGAAAAGUUUGAAGACGUUGCCGUUGUCCAUGGAGAUGGUCCAUGAGAAGGGACAGGAAAGGAGGCCGUGCAGCACCUUAUGUGACAACUCGAAUCAGCUAAACAUGCAUCAGCAGCAACAAACAGUCUGACCCAAGAAAAUAUUCCUUUUUGAACCCAAAUGUCAUGCCUGUUUUGAACUACAAUACACCAUCCAACAGGUACCUGGAGAAUUAAAAUGUGAUUUGAUAUAAAACAACAAUCCAAGUAAGUAAAACACCCAAAUCCUUUGGUGCCCUGACAGAGCACCUGUGGGUACAUUAACACAAUAGAGAUGGUGCAAACCAACAGCUCGCCUCAGUUGAAUCUCCACAGAAAUAUCAAUGCAUUAGAUAUGCAAUUAUCUUAUUUCACAAGUUAAUAUUCUGCCCUCGGGAAUCCUCCCAUUUCACCAUAUAGUUUCUGCCAGAAGUUCCAAAAGACCAGGUGGGUGUCACAGGUUUCUGUCCCCUGAGCGGAUUUUGGCCACUACCUCUUCAGAUCAGCCAUUGUGGCUCUCAGCUUUGUUCUUUGUAACUGCCAGCAGAGAAAAACUGCAAGCUUUACCAGUCCUUGCUAACCAUUGCCAUGAGAACUGACACAGUUUAGGGAACCCUCUCAUGCGCCUCUGUACUGCUGCAUCCGCAGGACCGAGAAACCUCUUCAGGAGGGUGGUGCUGAGCAACCCACGAUGAAGUGCAAGCGGUAAGAGUCUCCACCAAUACAGCUGUACUCAGCAGAGGAUGCACCCCCUACAGACCUGGCUAAUUAUAAACUUGAAGAAAAUCUUCGAGAUGAAUGACUGAAUUGCUGGUAUGUAUUGAGAGUGAAACGGGCAUCAUAUGAGCCAUUUGUUUUGAUGUGGUAAAGCAGCCAGAGAUUUAUCCCUGCUAGUAGAGGUUGGAGACUUGAAACACCACCACAAUAUUUUGUCCUGAAAAAUGCUGCAACUUGUUAAAUAUGGAAAACUGGCAUGGGGGACAUAACGCAAGCUACACUUUCCUAACGUGUUCUUAAAAAAUUUAUGAGAGUUUAAAGUGUUCUGCCAUUCAGUUAUAAAAAGGUUUCCAUAGAAACUGUCAUGCAACAUGACUUUUUGCUAUAAACACACCGAAGUGUCAAACUAACUUCUACAUGUUUAUUCUGCUUUCAUGGGGAGCAAAAAAAAACCCAUCCGCUUUCUGUUAUCUAGGUUCCCUGGCAGGGGUUGGAACAGUAACAUGUUUUGGCUUGCUUAGAGAGAUUUCCUCAGUUAAGCUGCAAAUGAAAUAAACACACUUAGAGAGGUUAAUAUUAUUUUGCAGGGAUUAUCUAGUUUAAUUAAUCAGCAUUUAAUCUCU